RNAcentral lists this transfer RNA (75 nucleotides) under Boseongicola sp. SB0670_bin_30. Its description in RNAcentral is "tRNA-Gly". It matches the Rfam family "tRNA". From Rfam's summary of the family: Transfer RNA (tRNA) molecules are approximately 80 nucleotides in length. Their secondary structure includes four short double-helical elements and three loops (D, anti-codon, and T loops). Further hydrogen bonds mediate the characteristic L-shaped molecular structure. tRNAs have two regions of fundamental functional importance: the anti-codon, which is responsible for specific mRNA codon recognition, and the 3' end, to which the tRNAs corresponding amino acid is attached (by aminoacyl-tRNA synthetases). tRNAs cope with the degeneracy of the genetic code in two manners: having more than one tRNA (with a specific anti-codon) for a particular amino acid; and 'wobble' base-pairing, i.e. permitting non-standard base-pairing at the 3rd anti-codon position. RNAcentral also lists the same sequence under 1 other name. Lineage: Bacteria; Pseudomonadati; Pseudomonadota; Alphaproteobacteria; Rhodobacterales; Paracoccaceae. The record is from RNAcentral.
GCGGGUGUAGCUCAAUGGCAGAGCGCGGGCCAUCCAGGCACGAGACGGGGGUUCGAUUCCCGCCCAUCCGCUCCA